Molecule: transfer RNA, 65 nt
Filed under: Oregonia gracilis
Lineage: Eukaryota; Metazoa; Arthropoda; Malacostraca; Decapoda; Oregoniidae
Description: tRNA-Asp
Source: RNAcentral
AAGUAGUUAGUUAACUUAUAACCUUAGCUUGUCACGCUAAAAUAAUCUUUUAGAGAUACUCCUUA